This 481-nucleotide long non-coding RNA is filed under the name Phoenix dactylifera (date palm). RNAcentral describes it as "long non-coding RNA (PDAC_LNC018330)". The record is from RNAcentral. Lineage: Eukaryota; Viridiplantae; Streptophyta; Magnoliopsida; Arecales; Arecaceae.
GAGAACGAAGCUGGAUCUUUUCGAUCGCCCCCACCUACGGGAAAGAGCGCGUGCGCGCAGCUCGGUGUCGGCGAGAAUGUGCUAGCUUUCGAGCUCGGAUGUAAUUAUUAAAAAAAGAAAUCUUCUUAAAUCCUAUGCGGUGGAGAGAAAAAUCUAGCAGGUGGGUGGCGCCGCGGUCUGUUUCCCAGCAGAGACGGCUGAAUCCUCCUUGAUUUUAUUAACACUAAAUCGGAUUCCAUUUAAGAACUCGAGAGACCGCAGAAUGUAAAGCAAACAUUUUUUCUCGAGCCGAGCAAAACCCCGGAGAGCCAGAGAUUGUGUCCUCCUGGCAAUACCCAACCCCAGCGCUCUCUAUAAUGUCAACUCUCUAAAUUCCCUCUGGUCUCUUCUCUCACUCACAGGUCCCACUCCCACUAGUCCCAGGACUGAAUCUUUCUACGCACCGGGAUUGAGGCGGAGUGGGAGGGAGAGCCGUAAAAGA